GAUAAAUUAAAAUCCCAUUUGAUAUAGCUUAACCAUACACAAAGGACCGCAAAUAAUUGCCCUAUAUUCCGCAAAGGUUACGAUAAAGUUUUAAAUUUGAUACAGUCCUAGGGGUUACAUGAGGAAUCAUUUGUAGAAAAUAUGUAUCAGGUUGGUCUACAUUGUUAUAUAUCCCCUUUCAAAUUCCUCAAAUGGUGGUAAUUUGAGAUUUUAAAAAGAAGAACAAAUUCUUUCAAUUAAUUAUAAGUAUAGGACCAUGACUCAGUUACUUCCUGAAAGACCUCUUCGCGGAAAUGUUUCAAUGUCAAUGUUUCGGAGUAGCGCGCAUAUAAAAGUACCUCCUGAUUUUACCUUUUUCGAGGGUGUUGAUUAUAUUUUAGAAUCGAUUUCACAUAAAAUGUGUGUUUAGGCUAUUUUAGGGGUAGAGAACCAUCUUACAUGGGCCUAUUAUAAACAGUUAAUGUAUACUUUUUAAUAUAUAUGCUAUAUUAUUUAGGUUUUUAACUAUCAAACUAAAACCUCUUACUGAAAAAUAGGAUCAGGUUUUUUGAAAUACGUAUUUAUUUCUAUUUAAUCGAGUUAUCAUCACUUAUGUGAGCACGAUUUGUGAAUUAUUCAGGCAUGUCACAGAAAUUAAUUCCGUUCGGAAGUGGAAUUAAUUCCGUAUUUAGCUUCUCCAGAAAACGAAAAACGAAUUUUUUUUCGGAAUGGAACCACUUUUGAUUUUGAAAGUGGAAUUGCUUUUAUUUGAGAACUUGUCACUUUUAAAUAUUCUGAAAUUGCUUUAAAGUAAUAAAAAUCUUGCUUUUAAUAAUAAAUUCACAUUAAAAUUCACAUUUUUGGGCUUUUUAUUUCAAAAAUUUGUAAUUUUUAGUUACAAAUAGAUAUUUAGCAAUAAAUGAAACCACUUUUUAACAAAGUGUUGCCACAUGUUUUUUCUUUAAAACAACCACCCUUUUUUUUAAUAAUUUGAAGGAAUUUUACAAUCUGGCACUACGAAUGAUAUACUAAAGCAAAAGUAGAAAAAAGAAAAACAAACCAAAAGUUGUCAAAGCAUACAAGAUGGGAAAACACAGAAGUUCGGAGCAGGAAAUUUUUUUUAUAGAUUUUAUGGAGAGCCACCAGGACAUAGCCAUAGGAUAUGUGAAAGGUGAUAGAGUUGUUGCUGAAGCAUAUUGGUCACAACUUACCGAAAAACUGAAUUCUUCAGGACCACCCACCAAGGAUUGCAAUGGCUGGAAAAAGGACGUGGGCAGACUGGAAAGUAAGCCUCAAUCACAGAAACAAUAGAAACUCCCGGCAUUUUUUAAACAAAUAUUGUGUUUUUCACUGGGAUUUAAAGAAAUAAGAUUACUUUAAAAUGCAACAUA
Molecule: long non-coding RNA, 1370 nt
Organism: Musca domestica (house fly)
Lineage: Eukaryota; Metazoa; Arthropoda; Insecta; Diptera; Muscidae
Exons: 2
Source: RefSeq, a predicted model, not a curated record